UACGUAGGGUGCGAGCGUUAAUCGGAAUUACUGGGCGUAAAGCGUGCGCAGGCGGUUUUGUAAGACAGGUGUGAAAUCCCCGGGCUUAACCUGGGAACUGCAUUUGUGACUGCAAGACUAGAGUGUGGUAGAGGAGAGUGGAAUUCCCGGUGUAGCAGUGAAAUGCGUAGAGAUCGGGAGGAACAUCAGUUGCGAAGGCGGCUCUCUGGACCAUCACUGACACUGAGGCACGAAAGCGUGGGGAGCAAACAGG
Molecule: ribosomal RNA, 253 nt
Filed under: uncultured bacterium
Lineage: Bacteria
Description: partial 16S ribosomal RNA
Rfam family: Bacterial small subunit ribosomal RNA
Source: RNAcentral